RNAcentral lists this ribosomal RNA (259 nucleotides) under uncultured bacterium. Its description in RNAcentral is "partial 16S ribosomal RNA". It matches the Rfam family "Bacterial small subunit ribosomal RNA", at positions 1241 to 1500 of the family's 1533-position model. The record is from RNAcentral.
AAAGAGAGGCAAGACCGCGAGGUGGAGCAAAUCUCAAAAAGCCGUCCCAGUUCGGAUCGCAGGCUGCAACCCGCCUGCGUGAAGUUGGAAUCGCUAGUAAUCGCGGAUCAGCAUGCCGCGGUGAAUACGUUCCCGGGCCUUGUACACACCGCCCGUCACACCAUGAGAGUCGGGAACACCCGAAGUCCGUAGCCUAACCGCAAGGGGGGCGCGGCCGAAGGUGGGUUCGAUAAUUGGGGUGAAGUCGUAACAAGGUAGC